RNAcentral lists this ribosomal RNA (468 nucleotides) under uncultured Caldisericales bacterium. RNAcentral describes it as "bacterial SSU rRNA". It matches the Rfam family "Bacterial small subunit ribosomal RNA", at positions 930 to 1382 of the family's 1533-position model. The record is from RNAcentral. Lineage: Bacteria; Pseudomonadati; Caldisericota; Caldisericia; Caldisericales.
CAGCGGAGCGUGUGGUUUAAUUCGACGCUACACGAAGAACCUUACCGGGCUUGACAUGCACGUGACCGCACAGAGAUGGUGCCUUCCUUGAAUUUUAUUCAAGGACACGUGCACAGGUGCUGCAUGGGCUGUCGUCAGCUCGUGUCGUGAGAUGUUGGGUUAAGUCCCGCAACGAGCGUAACCCUCGUCCUUAGUUGCUAACGUUGCCGAAAGGCUGCGUGCACUCUAGGGAGACCGCCGGCGAUAAGCUGGAGGAAGGUGGGGAUGACGUCAAGUCCUCAUGGCCCUUAUGUCCCGGGCUACACACACGCUACAAUGGCCGGUACAGACGGACGCAAAGCCGCGAGGUGGAGCAAAUCCUAAAAAGCCGGUCUCAGUUCGGAUUGCAGGCUGCAAUUCGCCUGCAUGAAGUCGGAAUCGCUAGUAAUCGCAGGUCAGCAUACUGCGGUGAAUACGUUCCCGGGCCUU